AGGAAGUAAAAGAGUUUAUAAAACAAGCGACGCUCCUUUAUUUGAACAUGCAACGAAAGGGUGGUGAAGGGUUACGUAAUCCUCCGUCCGUCCAACAGCAGAACCGCGUCGGAGGAGUGGAAAAGAAAGACGAAAAACAGUAAAAGAAGAAAUAGAUUGAAGAUAAGCAUUAGGAUGAUAUGUGAGUGAGAGAUGCAACAAUGGAGCGUUCAAUUUACUGUCACUGGGGAUCAGAAGCCGUCUCCACACGGCGGAACGAUAGAUAUGUUGACGGAAACACCAUCGGGAAUAGGGGUGCGCAUAAGGCCAGUAGAUAUGGCAUCUUGAACGCAAGUAUUAGUAUUAGAAACUCCCAUCCUCGCAAGGGCCUCGCAGCAUUCGGAGGGUGACCCCAGCCCCCCAGUCAAAAGACCAGAACAUUCAGGUAUCUGAGAGAGAUCUACAGAACACUCUUCAAAUUGAGAGGUGACUAUUGAGAGUGAUAGGAGAUUGAGAGAGAGGAAUAAGGCAACACAAACACUACCCUUGCAACCCAUUUCACUCAACAAACCUAAUUCCUGUCGCAACACUUUCUUACACUUUUCUAUGUGAUCGAUUGUGAAUGAUCAACAACUCAUCAC
RNAcentral lists this long non-coding RNA (620 nucleotides) under Phaseolus vulgaris (common bean). Its description in RNAcentral is "long non-coding RNA (PVUL_LNC001286)". The record is from RNAcentral. Lineage: Eukaryota; Viridiplantae; Streptophyta; Magnoliopsida; Fabales; Fabaceae.